CUCUAAAUAGUAUUAAAUGUACAUUUGCCUUCCAAGCAAAAAGACUAAUUAACUUAGUUUAGAGA
This 65-nucleotide transfer RNA is filed under the name Doriprismatica atromarginata. Its description in RNAcentral is "tRNA-Gly". The record is from RNAcentral. Lineage: Eukaryota; Metazoa; Mollusca; Gastropoda; Nudibranchia; Chromodorididae.